AGUCUGCAACUCGACUACCAUGAAGCUGGAAUCGCUAGUAAUCGCGAAUCAGAAUGUCGCGGUGAAUACGUUCCCGGGUCUUGUACACACCGCCCGUCACACCAUGGGAGUCGGGAAUGCCCGAAGUCAGUGACCCAACCGGAAGGAGGGAGCUGCCGAAGGCAGGCUCGAUAACUGGGUGAAGUCGUAACAAGGUAUC
RNAcentral lists this ribosomal RNA (199 nucleotides) under uncultured bacterium. Its description in RNAcentral is "partial 16S ribosomal RNA". It matches the Rfam family "Bacterial small subunit ribosomal RNA", at positions 1302 to 1500 of the family's 1533-position model. The record is from RNAcentral.